Molecule: ribosomal RNA, 381 nt
Filed under: uncultured organism
Description: partial 16S ribosomal RNA
Rfam family: Bacterial small subunit ribosomal RNA
Source: RNAcentral
GUAGGUGGCAAGCGUUGUCCGGAAUUAUUGGGCGUAAAGCGCGCGCAGGUGGUUCUUUAAGUCUGAUGUGAAAGCCCCCCGGCUCAACCGGGGGAGGGUUCAUUUGGGAAACUGGGGAACGUUAGAGUGCAGGAGAGGAAAGUGGAAUUCCACGUGUAGCGGUGAAAUGCGUAGAUAUGUGGAGGAACACCAGUGGCGAAGGCGACUUUCUUGGCCUGUAACUGACACUGAGGCGCGAAAGCGUGGGGAGCAAACAGGGAUUAGAUACCCUGGUAGUCCACGCCGUAAACGAUGAGUGCUAAGUGUUGGGGGGUUUCCCGGCCCCUCAGUGCUGCAGCUAACGCAUUAAGCACUCCGCCUGGGGAGUACGUCGCAAGACUG